Salvia splendens (bonfire salvia) is the source of this 120-nucleotide small nuclear RNA. RefSeq annotates it as U5 spliceosomal RNA. Lineage: Eukaryota; Viridiplantae; Streptophyta; Magnoliopsida; Lamiales; Lamiaceae. The record is from RefSeq and is a predicted model, not a curated record. The transcript has a single exon.
AGCUGCGCGUCAAGCACAUAGCGAACUAUUAUUUCACCUUUUACUAAAGAAUAUUGUGUGCUCGUCGCUUAUAAGCGGCUUACGCCACUUUUUGGAGGGGUGUCUUCUUUCAAGGAGGCC